Molecule: long non-coding RNA, 1085 nt
Organism: Erigeron canadensis
Lineage: Eukaryota; Viridiplantae; Streptophyta; Magnoliopsida; Asterales; Asteraceae
Exons: 2
Source: RefSeq, a predicted model, not a curated record
UCCUCGAUUGGGCCUUCAUGUCAUGGUCAGGUCGUUAUCUGGUGUUCUCAAGCGUACAUCUUAGGAUUCCAAUAGGGAAGUGGUUAAAGAAAUUGAUUAAGGUAGAUCGUCCUAUUACAAUUCUAAAUAGAAUUGAAAACUUAAAUAAUAUCAUGCCAACCCUGUAUUAUGAAGGUUUCAAUAAGUUAGAGUGUAUAAAGUUGUAUAGGUGCCACAAUAUGUCUUGCUUAGUGGAUGAUGUUCAAACAGGUGUGAUGGGGAUGAAUGGAAAAUAGAGGAGAAGUUUUUCAAGGAACUAAAAGACCUUGAAUUGUUGUAUCUAGAUAAUUUGAAGGUGUUAUGGAAAUGCCCGGAUGAAUAUAUAAGUUUUACUAACCUAGUCACUUUUGAGAUUCAUCAUUGUGAUAAGUUAAAAAGAGUAUUCACAGUAAGCAUAGAAAAAGGGCUUGUCAAUCUCAAAAGUUUGAUAAUUAAUUCGUGUUGGAAAUUAGAGAAAGUGAUUUGGGGUGGCGAUUAUGAAUCUAGAAGUAUUAUUGUGUUCCCGUACCUUGCCAAGAUUUCCUUCAGGGGUUUAUGGUGGAUCAAAAGCUUCUACUCAGGUGGGAGUGAGAAUCAUAGCAUCAAAUAUCCAUCUUUGGUGGAAGUUGAAAUCGUUGAUUGUAAGAGCAUGGAGAUAUGGGGACCUGGAAUCCAUGAAACACCCAACCUCAAAAGCAUAAAAGUUGCAGAUGAGUUUGCUGCUGUGCAAAGAAUACAGCUGGAUGGAGCUAAUGCCAUCAAUGAUGUUGUAGCAAAAAGGCAUCAGAUACUUCGACAAGGAAGAACUUUAUAACUGGGACAACAAAUUGAAGAGGAAGAAGAUGAUAAAGAGAGGGAAGACGAUAAUCACGAUGAAGAGUGGAUAAGAAUUAAUUUGAAUAAGGUGUGUAUGAACCAUUGUAAUAACAUGAUUUUUCUGUUUGCCUUCUUUAAUCAUAGUAAGCAUUUCUGUAAGCUUGUGUGGUGAGGAUUAUGGUCCCAAAUUUGUAGACAAAUUGUUGGAAGUUUCUGGCCUGCCAAUUAUUUUUAAUUUCAUCGUUCGUGCA